AUGUGAGGGCAAUCUGGCUGUGACAUCUGUCACCCCAUUGAUCACCAGGGUUGAUUCCACUGAUCUGGCUGGACAGAUGGCUGUUCCCUUCCUCCUUCAUUCAUCCAUGUGCGUCCCUCCCAAAGCUGCACACUCGUUCAAGAGGAUGACCCCCAAUAAGGGAGGACCAGUCCUUGGUUAAAGGUAUACGAGUAGCUGCGCUUCCCUGCUAGAACCUCCAAACAAGGUCUUAAGGAAAAACAUUCCUUCCCUAUAGUAUCUGGAAUGAACAACAUUAUAUGUGAUGCCUUCAAGAAAAAGUUUUUGACUGUGAACAAGAACAGGAAAUAGUGAAAUUUUAUCUU
Cavia aperea (Brazilian guinea pig) is the source of this 344-nucleotide unclassified non-coding RNA. Its record names the gene 7SK. It matches the Rfam family "7SK RNA". From Rfam's summary of the family: 7SK was discovered as an abundant small nuclear RNA in the mid-70s but a possible function has only recently been suggested. Two independent studies have found that 7SK RNA binds the CDK9/cyclin T complex (known as elongation factor P-TEFb). NCBI's taxonomy places the organism in Eukaryota, Metazoa, Chordata, Mammalia, Rodentia, Caviidae. The record is from Ensembl.